Molecule: ribosomal RNA, 700 nt
Filed under: Actinomycetes bacterium
Lineage: Bacteria; Bacillati; Actinomycetota; Actinomycetes
Description: bacterial SSU rRNA
Rfam family: Bacterial small subunit ribosomal RNA
Source: RNAcentral
UAGUGGCGAACGGGUGAGUAACACGUGGGCAAUCUGCCCUUCACUCUGGGACAAGCCCUGGAAACGGGGUCUAAUACCGGAUACCACCCUGUCCCGCAUGGGACGGGGUUGAAAGCUCCGGCGGUGAAGGAUGAGCCCGCGGCCUAUCAGCUUGUUGGUGGGGUAAUGGCCUACCAAGGCGACGACGGGUAGCCGGCCUGAGAGGGCGACCGGCCACACUGGGACUGAGACACGGCCCAGACUCCUACGGGAGGCAGCAGUGGGGAAUAUUGCACAAUGGGCGAAAGCCUGAUGCAGCGACGCCGCGUGAGGGAUGACGGCCUUCGGGUUGUAAACCUCUUUCAGCAGGGAAGAAGCGCAAGUGACGGUACCUGCAGAAGAAGCGCCGGCUAACUACGUGCCAGCAGCCGCGGUAAUACGUAGGGCGCAAGCGUUGUCCGGAAUUAUUGGGCGUAAAGAGCUCGUAGGCGGCUUGUCACGUCGGAUGUGAAAGCCCGGGGCUUAACCCCGGGUCUGCAUUCGAUACGGGCUAGCUAGAGUGUGGUAGGGGAGAUCGGAAUUCCUGGUGUAGCGGUGAAAUGCGCAGAUAUCAGGAGGAACACCGGUGGCGAAGGCGGAUCUCUGGGCCAUUACUGACGCUGAGGAGCGAAAGCGUGGGGAGCGAACAGGAUUAGAUACCCUGGUAGUCCACGCCGUAAAC